This 268-nucleotide long non-coding RNA is filed under the name Spirodela polyrhiza (greater duckweed). Its description in RNAcentral is "long non-coding RNA (SPOL_LNC002012)". The record is from RNAcentral. Lineage: Eukaryota; Viridiplantae; Streptophyta; Magnoliopsida; Alismatales; Araceae.
GCGAGAAGCACGAAACGAAUCCCCAUACCAUAAAGUCAACAUACCUCCUCGACUUCACCCUCCAUUCGCAUAAGCUCUCUCUAGAUCUUCCGGAGAUCUAUAUCUUCCAGAGAUCUAGAGAGAGAGAGGGGAGAGAGUGGAAGGUAAAAGAGAAGACGGAGAGAGAGAGGAGGGGAGAGAGUGGAAGGUAAAAGAGAAGACGGAGAGAGACAGAGGAGAGAGCGGUCUGCAUAAUAUUGGCCCAUGGGCGACCUCGGCAGCAGUACCC